RNAcentral lists this ribosomal RNA (492 nucleotides) under uncultured bacterium. RNAcentral's name for it is "partial 16S ribosomal RNA". It matches the Rfam family "Bacterial small subunit ribosomal RNA", at positions 29 to 507 of the family's 1533-position model. The record is from RNAcentral.
AGUGAACGCUGGCGGUAGGCCUAACACAUGCAAGUCGAACGGCAGCACAGUAAGAGCUUGCUCUUACGGGUGGCGAGUGGCGGACGGGUGAGGAAUACAUCGGAAUCUACUUUUUCGUGGGGGAUAACGUAGGGAAACUUACGCUAAUACCGCAUACGACCUACGGGUGAAAGCAGGGGAUCUUCGGACCUUGCGCGAUUGAAUGAGCCGAUGUCGGAUUAGCUAGUUGGCGGGGUAAAGGCCCACCAAGGCGACGAUCCGUAGCUGGUCUGAGAGGAUGAUCAGCCACACUGGAACUGAGCCACGGUCCAGACUCCUACGGGAGGCAGCAGUGGGGAAUAUUGGACAAUGGGCGCAAGCCUGAUCCAGCCAUACCGCGUGGGUGAAGAAGGCCUUCGGGUUGUAAAGCCCUCUUGUUGGGAAAGAAAAGCAGCAGGUUAAUACCCCGCUGUUCUGACGGUACCCAAAGAAUAAGCACCGGCUAACUUCGUG